GCUGACGUUCAGAAACUCCGAGCUGCGGGCUUCCGUGUCCCUUCUGCUCCCGCUGUCUGAGCCUCGCUGUGUACCCGGCGCCUUGUCCUCUCUUCGUCUCCCUCUUCCGCAUUCGGGAUCCCAGAAACCGGGUUCUCACAGUGACCCGGACCACAGGGAAAUCGCCCAAUCAUCCAGUCGGGGUCACCGAGCCUGGAGGGUCCCCUUCCAGGGCCAGCCUCCCGGCACCCAGCAACCGUUGGCCCGGACACCCCCGCCAGGGAUCCAACGACCCAGCAAGUGCUCACCCGUCUCAGGGCGACCCUGGGCCUCGGGGUGAGAGGUCUCCUUCACUAAAAAGGCUGUCGCCCCUCAAUCCUAGACCCGGAGAUUCCUUUCACCCAGGAAAUCUCGUAAUGGCACCCAUUGUCAUUUUGAUUUUUAUGCCGAAUUUCUAGCUCCUACGUCUCCAUUGCGGGCCCUAAAAGUCGCUGUUUCACUAAGCUUUGGGACCUGACUCCGGGAAAUUUCAUUCUUUCGUCCCAAGAUCUCAGCCGGAAAGAGAAAUUCGCACGGCGGCCUCUUCAAGCACACGGCCUGGGAGCGCGGGUUCCGAUCCUCCUCCGCCCUAGCCGAACUCCCAACUCCCGCGGCACCACGGGGAAGAGGAGCCUGAGCAGCUCUGAGGGGCGAGUCCCUGACAGUGGGGCUCCCCCUCGUCCCGUCAGAACCCUGCCCCAAGGAGAAGACGCCUUAGGACGCUACCAGAGUUAAAAUGUUCUCUCCUGCUCUUCAGAGCACUUGGGAUGAGGUUCCUGAUGGGUCGGUCUUGGGAACUAAGAUGUCACUCCAGGCACUCAAGAACAUAGCUCUGAUUUUCAUAUUUUGCGGCUGAGAGCGCUUACGAAGGACUGAAAAACACCGCAGUCUUUGAGGACGAGUUUGGAGGACAAGCCGGGAGUGGGGGGUGAGACGACGCCUUCUUGGCUCCUUAGAGUGGACUGGCAGGUAAGGAAACACAAACUCUGUUUCCCCUUGCAGGCUGGACUGCAGGGCCUGGGAUGGAAAAUUGGACAGUCGAAGAGUAACAAUAUUUAUGUACAGGUUGGUUGCACACAUUAAAAAUUGUUAUCCCUAGAGAUAAGUGUAGGAAGGGACCUGGGCGCUGCUGUUCACCUCCAGCUUUGCAGCAUAUGUAACUUUGAUAACAGAGUAUAAUGCAUAAAAAAUUCAUUCCUGUUUACAAAGAAUUGAUCACAACCAGUUACAGGUUUCUUUGUUCCUUCUCCAUUUCCACUGCUUCAUUGACUAGCCUUAUAGGAAAAAAAAAAAAACUUGUAAAUAUGAUAUUAUUUCCGUUGAUCCUCAGCCCACUGGUUCCCCACCCCCUGAAAGUAGUUGGAACAACAGGUUUGCACCACGUGCUGGACUAAUUUUUGUAUUUUUAGUACAGAGGGGUUUCACCAUUUUGGCCAGGCGGGUCUGGAACUCCAGAACUCAAGUGAUCCUCCUGCCUGGGCCUCCCUGCACCUCCCUGCUGGGAUUACAGGCAUGAGCCACCCCACUUGGCCAUCAUUUGUAUUUUGAAUUUAAAUAUUUUGUAGUCAUCGCUCUUCAAUGACUGGGUUUUGUUGCAUGAGCAUGAUGGGGUUCAGGACAUGCUACUCCAAAAUAUAACAUCUUAGGGUAUUGAAUAUUUUAUGCUAAAGAAAUUUGAGUAAACAACAGAAGCAGGAAGGUCACUGUCACCUCCCCCUGCCCUUCGUCCCUGAAGUCAAUUGUAAGACCCUUAUGUGAGAGGUGCCCUCUCUGUACCCAGAGGAAAGGUGCAUUCUGGAGUCUGAAGACCCAGGGACACAGAGGAGCCUGAACACAGAGGCCUGGCUACAUUUUCCCCAGUUUGUUACUGUUAGAUCAUAGUUUUAUUGUCUUACCAUACUUCUCCGUGACCAUCCAUUCUUCAAUAAAACUACUGUUAAAAAACAAACAAACAAACAACAACAAAAAAAAACCCUGAGGUUUAGCUGUUUCCAUGGGCCUUCGUUUCCUUUGGAAGGCACUCCUGUCAUGUAAAACUUACAUUCAAUAAAUACAUAUGCUCUUC
This is a long non-coding RNA of Macaca mulatta (Rhesus monkey), 2083 nucleotides long. NCBI's taxonomy places the organism in Eukaryota, Metazoa, Chordata, Mammalia, Primates, Cercopithecidae. The record is from Ensembl.